This 239-nucleotide long non-coding RNA is filed under the name Ananas comosus (pineapple). Its description in RNAcentral is "long non-coding RNA (ACOM_LNC008720)". Lineage: Eukaryota; Viridiplantae; Streptophyta; Magnoliopsida; Poales; Bromeliaceae. The record is from RNAcentral.
GUUAGGACUUGCUCAAACAAAUAAAUUCGGACUUGGAUAUGAAAGGACUCAUGUAGAUCAAGUGAUGAAGAAAGUUGACGAACACUUGACGAAACCGGUUCCUAAGGUUUAUGGUAAGUUUAUCCCUCCUAAGAAUUAUUUUGCUAACAAAACUUGUCAUUUGUGUGGUGUUGUAGGUCAUGUGAAACGCUAUUGCAAACAAAAACCGAAGAGUACCACAACACCUAUUAAACCAAGAA